This 115-nucleotide small nucleolar RNA is filed under the name Fukomys damarensis (Damara mole-rat). RNAcentral describes it as "Small nucleolar RNA SNORA40". It matches the Rfam family "Small nucleolar RNA SNORA40". From Rfam's summary of the family: The snoRNA ACA 40 belongs to the H/ACA family of snoRNAs and guides the pseudouridylation of 28S rRNA subunit at position U4565. Lineage: Eukaryota; Metazoa; Chordata; Mammalia; Rodentia; Bathyergidae. The record is from Rfam by way of RNAcentral.
UUCCGUGCUUUUUGUUUAAUUUGUGGGCAAAGACUUGUGGACAAAAAAAAAUACUUUUGCAACUCAAAAUUCGUUGUUCAGUUCAAGAGUUCUGACACAUGUAAGAAAGAAUAUU